GGGUCGAUGCUCGAGUGGUUAAUGGGGACGGAUUGUAAAUCCGCUGGUAAUGCCUACGCUGGUUCAAAUCCAGCUCGACCCA
Molecule: transfer RNA, 82 nt
Filed under: Aneura pinguis
Lineage: Eukaryota; Viridiplantae; Streptophyta; Jungermanniopsida; Metzgeriales; Aneuraceae
Also listed under: 1 other name
Description: tRNA-Tyr
Rfam family: tRNA
About the family: Transfer RNA (tRNA) molecules are approximately 80 nucleotides in length.
Source: RNAcentral